Molecule: transfer RNA, 70 nt
Filed under: Loxodonta africana (African savanna elephant)
Lineage: Eukaryota; Metazoa; Chordata; Mammalia; Proboscidea; Elephantidae
Rfam family: tRNA
About the family: Transfer RNA (tRNA) molecules are approximately 80 nucleotides in length. Their secondary structure includes four short double-helical elements and three loops (D, anti-codon, and T loops). Further hydrogen bonds mediate the characteristic L-shaped molecular structure. tRNAs have two regions of fundamental functional importance: the anti-codon, which is responsible for specific mRNA codon recognition, and the 3' end, to which the tRNAs corresponding amino acid is attached (by aminoacyl-tRNA synthetases). tRNAs cope with the degeneracy of the genetic code in two manners: having more than one tRNA (with a specific anti-codon) for a particular amino acid; and 'wobble' base-pairing, i.e. permitting non-standard base-pairing at the 3rd anti-codon position.
Source: Rfam by way of RNAcentral
GCAGUAGUGGUUCAGUGGUAGAAUUCUCGCCUUCCAUGCGUGAGACCCGGGUUCAGUUCCCAGCCAUGUA